CCUAAGAUCUUGGGGCCUUAACUCCAAAUCUUCUCUACUAGGAAAGAUCCUACAUUCAAGAGAUCUUGGUCAGCUCUACACCACUAUAUAAGCACCAAGCCUCCUUUUACUUAAGGUACAUAAAAUUUCUUAGCUCUCACACUUUUGAGUUUUUGAAGAUUCUUCUAUCACUAACUUAACCUUCAAAGGAUCUUUAGCCGGCACCCCACCAGUGCUCUAUGUAGGUUCUUUGUUCUCUUAUUCUUCAAGUACCUCAAUUCGCACACGUGUGGACAAUCAACUCACUAAUGAUUUUGUGCAUCAUCAAUGAGAAAGGCAUUCCUAUCUCAAGUGAUGUUCGAAAUUGCUGGGCUGGAUUUUCCCUCCUAACAGCCUUCUUUUUGUCAAAGAGCACAAUGUUGAAUGUGAAAUGCUAAAAGUAUGUUACCUUGAUUUGGAUGAUGAGCAGCUUUAUAGGCACGCAAGAUUGGUGACUACAGGUGUCAUCACUAAGGACAAGAUUUAGGAAAUUAUGUGAGAAAGAUGAGUUUAUAGGAAUUUGUGAGAAAUGGAAGCCAAGCUAGAAUUAAAGUAGAGCUAAAGGACCAU
Molecule: long non-coding RNA, 588 nt
Organism: Quercus lobata
Lineage: Eukaryota; Viridiplantae; Streptophyta; Magnoliopsida; Fagales; Fagaceae
Exons: 3
Source: RefSeq, a predicted model, not a curated record